UGGGGAAUUUUGGACAAUGGGCGCAAGCCUGAUCCAGCCAUGCCGCGUGAGUGAAGAAGGCCUUCGGGUUGUAAAGCUCUUUCGGCUGGGACGAAAAGGUUCGUGCUAACACCACGGAUCAAUGACGGUACCAGCAGAAGAAGCACCGGCUAACUACGUGCCAGCAGCCGCGGUAAUACGUAGGGUGCAGGCGUUAAUCGGAAUUACUGGGCGUAAAGCGUGCGCAGGCGGUUGUGCAAGACCGAUGUGAAAUCCCCGGGCUUAACCUGGGAAUGGCAUUGGUGACUGCACGGCUAGAGUGUGUCAGAGGGGGGUAGAAUUCCACGUGUAGCAGUGAAAUGCGUAGAGAUGUGGAGGAAUACCGAUGGCGAAGGCAGCCCCCUGGGAUAACACUGACGCCCAUGCACGAAAGCGUGGGGAGCAAAC
This 426-nucleotide ribosomal RNA is filed under the name uncultured bacterium. Its description in RNAcentral is "bacterial SSU rRNA". It matches the Rfam family "Bacterial small subunit ribosomal RNA", at positions 355 to 773 of the family's 1533-position model. The record is from RNAcentral.